This is a long non-coding RNA of Microplitis mediator, 1149 nucleotides long. RefSeq lists it as uncharacterized. The record is from RefSeq and is a predicted model, not a curated record. Lineage: Eukaryota; Metazoa; Arthropoda; Insecta; Hymenoptera; Braconidae. The transcript has 5 exons.
GAAAUAUCCCCCGUUCUGGCAGCACUGGCCAGGAGUGUGUGCAGGCGGUCAGAUUGAUUUCUUUCCAAUUUUCUGUUGCUUAAUACAUGACCCAGGUCACAGAAAAACAUCAAAUUUCAAAUCGCGUAUUUAAAAUUUUCCAAAAUGGAUUUAAUUUAUUGUAAUCAAUCAACGCAAUUUCUUAGCAACAAAAAUGAAAUUUUUAAACGUAAGAGAUUAUUUAAAUUCUACAAAUCACAAAAGUCAAUUUUUCAUCACCAUGUGGCUCCAACUCUGAACGCAUCACAAGUCUGAGAAUCAUCAAUGCUCAAGAUAUUUUUUUCGUCAUCGACUCGCUCAUGUAGAGGAUCAGUUCCAGGAUUUUCAUCAUGAAAAAAAAAUAAUUACCUGAAUCAUCAAUGUUCAGGUCAUUCAUCAGAAAUUUGCGCAUGUAGGGGAUUAGUUCCUGGAUCUACAUCAUGAAAAAAAAAUAAUCACCUGGACGCCAACUAAUUAAAUCAGUCCGUCAUCUGCUCACAUAAAAUGGCGGUUUAUUUGAAUCCGGCAUCAAACGAACACGCCUCAGAAAAGUUCGAGAUACUGAUGAAGAUGGAGACGGACAAUAACCGCUGACUAUAAUCAAAAAAUCAGCUCAUAUUUGAUGCCAAACUUUAAUUAAUUUUUUUUUUUACUUUUAAUGAAAUUGAAAAAUAAAAACUACUGAAAUUGUAAAUUUGAACUUUUUAUUUAAUGGCAUUGAGAUUUAUUAUAUAAGUCAUAUAUUUCUAAGUAAUUGAUAUAUUUUAUCAAACAACGCCAUAAAUUUGUAAAAUUGUUCCAGUUAGGAAAUUUAUUUCAGGUGUUUUCAAUUUUCACUCACUCCGGGUUUUCAGUAGACAAAAUUUUCGCCGAUUUUUUUUUUACGCAUGCGCAGUAUAAAAUUAAUCAGUAGUAAAGACGAUUUCCGAAGUUCAUUCUCUCUGGGACAAGUUUUCAAUGUUGAAAUAAUCGAGGACUUGAAAAUUUAAAUUUUGGAAAUAAAAAAAAUAGACUCGUUUAUAAGAAAAAAUUUUUUUAUUAAAUAUAUAAUUCAAAAGUCAGACAAAUCUGCCGAUCGAUAAAUUUCAUAUGUAAAAUUUAAGCUGAAAAAAAAUAAUAAAACUGUUGAGC